Molecule: long non-coding RNA, 860 nt
Organism: Terrapene triunguis (Three-toed box turtle)
Lineage: Eukaryota; Metazoa; Chordata; Testudines; Emydidae
Exons: 3
Source: RefSeq, a predicted model, not a curated record
GCCUAACUGUUACCAAGCAUUAAGUAUUUAGCAGCGUAGGUUGGUUUAAAAGAGGCCAAUGUGGUUACUUUGCAGUUUUUCAUAGUGAGCGCCUCUCAUGCAGAAGGAGCAGUUUGGGAGAAAGAUUUUUGCAGCUGCAUUUUGAAUGGCUAUAAUGGCUUUGUUUUGACUGGAGACAUUGGUCAGUGUUUGAGGCGGAGGCUGCUUAACCGUUUCAGUCACCUGUUUACAAUGGCUUCUUUAUAUUUAUCCUGAAUGCAAGGUGGCAGUUACACCCCACCCAUAAUAUCAGGGUUUAGCCUGACCCAUAACAUUUGUCAUAUACAGCACCUUUCAUCCAGAAGACAACAUGCUGUUUACUAAUUCUAUACAGAAAUCACUUCUUCUACUUUUGAAAGGCAGCCAUCUCGGGGGGGAAAUGCCGCAGGUGCUUAACAACGUUAUGCAACUACAUAAGACAGGAAGCCGAGGAGAAUGCCAUCAUGCAAGGAAAAUUAAGGACGCAGAAUAACGUGACAGCACCCGAUGGGUUAAACUGUGACAGAGGAAACCAGACUUCUCCUUCUGGGGUGUGACUGCGACUACAUCUGAAAGAUCAAAAUUAAAAAAGAAGCUUCACACUCUGAGAUGAUUAUGGAAGGAAAUUAUGCAACAAAGAGAGGGCUUAUUGGAACUGUUGUGUUACCUCCCAGCCCACUGCCUCCUUGUUUUCCACAUCUUCCAGCCUCCCAACCAUGGCUGCUGGGAGUAGACUUGGAUGAAAUGGACAUGUUCUGCUUUUCAGGAUUUUGCUCCGCUGAAAAAAGGUUGUAACGAGCGGCAUCCAGAUACGGAAUUGAGUGAGAUUCCUGCAGCGCACC